This 504-nucleotide ribosomal RNA is filed under the name uncultured bacterium. Its description in RNAcentral is "bacterial SSU rRNA". It matches the Rfam family "Bacterial small subunit ribosomal RNA", at positions 29 to 527 of the family's 1533-position model. The record is from RNAcentral.
AGUGAACGCUGGCGGCAGGCCUAACACAUGCAAGUCGAACGGCAGCACGGCAGUAGCAAUACUGUGGGUGGCGAGUGGCGGACGGGUGAGGAAUACAUCGGGAUCUACCCUGUUGUGGGGGAUAACGUAGGGAAACUUACGCUAAUACCGCAUAAGAACUGAGGUUGAAAGCGGCGGACCGCAAGGCGUCGCGCGAUUGGAUGAACCGAUGUCCGAUUAGCUAGUUGGCGGGGUAAAGGCCCACCAAGGCGACGAUCGGUAGCUGGUCUGAGAGGACGACCAGCCACACUGGAACUGAGACACGGUCCAGACUCCUACGGGAGGCAGCAGUGGGGAAUAUUGGACAAUGGGCGCAAGCCUGAUCCAGCCAUGCCGCGUGGGUGAAGAAGGCCUUCGGUUGUAAAGCCUUUUGUCCGAAGAAAGCAUUCGGUAAUACCCGGGUGUUCUGACGUACCGGAAGAAUAAGCACCGGCUAACUUCGUGCCAGCAGCCGCGGUAAGCACG